This 254-nucleotide ribosomal RNA is filed under the name uncultured bacterium. RNAcentral describes it as "partial 16S ribosomal RNA". It matches the Rfam family "Bacterial small subunit ribosomal RNA", at positions 524 to 776 of the family's 1533-position model. The record is from RNAcentral.
UACGUAGGGUGCAAGCGUUUAUCCGGAAUUAUUGGGCGUAAAGAGCUCGUAGGCGGUUUGUCACGUCUGCUGUGAAAACUGGAGGCUCAACCUCCAGCCUGCAGUGGGUACGGGCAGACUAGAGUGCGGUAGGGGAGAUUGGAAUUCCUGGUGUAGCGGUGGAAUGCGCAGAUAUCAGGAGGAACACCGAUGGCGAAGGCAGAUCUCUGGGCCGUAACUGACGCUGAGGAGCGAAAGCAUGGGGAGCGAACAGG